GCAGGUUUGGAAGGACUUUGGCUAACAGAAGCUUCCUGAGUGGUUGUUCCAUCCCCAACUUUUUGUGGAAUCUGGCACUGGCCUUGGUGUCAUCUAUAAUAUAGAUUUCAAUGCUAAAUGUCAGGAGGAAAAUGGAUAGGGCAGUGUGCUUUAUGAACUGUUACCAAAAUACUAGCAUCGAAAAAGCAAGCAGCAAUUACAAACAAUAGGCUUAAGGUUAUCACGU
RNAcentral lists this long non-coding RNA (226 nucleotides) under Homo sapiens (human). RNAcentral's name for it is "HSALNT0048263". The record is from RNAcentral. Lineage: Eukaryota; Metazoa; Chordata; Mammalia; Primates; Hominidae.